This 833-nucleotide ribosomal RNA is filed under the name Inocybe grammatoides. RNAcentral's name for it is "partial large subunit ribosomal RNA". It matches the Rfam family "Eukaryotic large subunit ribosomal RNA", at positions 95 to 911 of the family's 3401-position model. Lineage: Eukaryota; Fungi; Basidiomycota; Agaricomycetes; Agaricales; Inocybaceae. The record is from RNAcentral.
GAAGCGGGAAAAGCUCAAAUUUGAAAUCUGGCGGUCUUUGAUCGUCCGAGUUGUAAUCUAGAGAAGUUGUUACCUGUGCAGGACCAUGUACAAGUCUCCUGGAAUGGGGCAUCAUAGAGGGUGAGAAUCCCGUCUUUGACAUGGACUACCUGCAUGUUGUGGUGCGCUCUCAAAGAGUCGAGUUGUUUGGGAAUGCAGCUCAAAAUGGGUGGUAAAUGCCAUCUAAAGCUAAAUAUUGGCGAGAGACCGAUAGCGAACAAGUACCGUGAGGGAAAGAUGAAAAGAACUUUGGAAAGAGAGUUAAACAGUACGUGAAAUUGCUGAAAGGGAAACGCUUGAAGUCAGUCACAUUGGCCAGAAAUCAGCCUUGCUUCUGUGAGGUGUACUUUCUGUUUGAUGGGUCAGCAUCAAUUUUGAUCACUGGAUAAAGUCUCUGGGAACGUGGCAUCUUCGGAUGUGUUAUAGCCCAUUUUCACAUGCAGUGGUUGGGAUUGAGGAACUCAGCACGCCGAAAGGCCGGGUUUCGACCAUGUUCGUGCUUAGGAUGCUGGCAUAAUGGCUUUAAUCGACCCGUCUUGAAACACGGACCAAGGAGUCUAACAUGCCUGCGAGUGUUUGGGUGGAAAACCCAUGCGCGCAAUGAAAGUGAAAAGUUGAGAUCCCUUUUAGUAGGUGAGCAUCGACGCCCGGACCAGACCUUUUGUGACGGAUCCGCGGUAGAGCAUGCAUGUUGGGACCCGAAAGAUGGUGAACUAUGCCUGAAUAGGGUGAAGCCAGAGGAAACUCUGGUGGAGGCUCGUAGCGAUUCUGACGUGCAAAUCGAUCGUCAAAUU